Non-coding RNA from Ceratotherium simum simum (southern white rhinoceros), 152 nucleotides. Lineage: Eukaryota; Metazoa; Chordata; Mammalia; Perissodactyla; Rhinocerotidae. The record is from RefSeq and is a predicted model, not a curated record.
AGCACUUUGCCACAUGGCCGGCCCCUCUUCUUAAAUUUACUGAGACUUGUUUUAUGGCCUAACGUGUGAUAUAUCCUGAAGAAUGCUCCUUGUGCAUUCGAAAAGAAUGUAUAUUCUGCUAUUUUUGGAUGGAAUGUUCUAUAUAUAUCUAU